GUAGGGAAUAUUGCGCAAUGGACGAAAGUCUGACGCAGCGACGCCGCGUGAGUGAUGAAGGCCUUAGGGUCGUAAAGCUCUGUUGAAUCGGAAGAAAAAAAUGACGGUACCAUUCGAGGAAGGACCGGCUAACUUCGUGCCAGCAGCCGCGGUAAUACGAGGGGUCCUAGCGUUGUUCGGAAUCAUUGGGCGUAAAGGGUGUGUAGGUGGCCAUGUAAGUCAGGUGUGAAAGCCCCGGGCUCAACCCGGGAAGUGCACUUGAUACUGCGUGGCUUGAGUACCGAAGAGGGUAGUGGAAUUCCAGGUGUAGUGGUGAAAUACGUAGAUAUCUGGAGGAACACCGGUGGCGAAGGCGGCUACCUGGUCGAGUACUGACACUGAGACACGAAAGCAUGGGGAUCAAACAGGAUUAGAAACCCUAGUAGUCC
This 428-nucleotide ribosomal RNA is filed under the name uncultured bacterium. RNAcentral's name for it is "partial 16S ribosomal RNA". It matches the Rfam family "Bacterial small subunit ribosomal RNA", at positions 354 to 796 of the family's 1533-position model. The record is from RNAcentral.